UACGUAGGGUGCGAGCGUUAAUCGGAAUUACUGGGCGUAAAGCGUGCGCAGGCGGUUUUGUAAGCCAGAUGUGAAAGCCCCGGGCUUAACCUGGGAAUGGCAUUUGGGACUGCAAGGCUUGAGUGCGGAAGGGGAGAGUGGAAUUCCUGGUGUAGCGGUGAAAUGCGCAGAUAUCAGGAAGAACACCAGUGGCGAAGGCGGCUCACUGGCCCGGUAUUGACGCUCAUGUGCGAAAGCGUGGGGAGCAAACAGG
Molecule: ribosomal RNA, 253 nt
Filed under: uncultured bacterium
Lineage: Bacteria
Description: partial 16S ribosomal RNA
Rfam family: Bacterial small subunit ribosomal RNA
Source: RNAcentral